GGUCCCGUGGCUUAGCCAGGAUAUAGCAUCGGGCUUCUAACCCGAGGGUCAGGGGUUCAAAUCCCUUCGGGAUCG
Methanolobus tindarius DSM 2278 is the source of this 75-nucleotide non-coding RNA. The record is from Rfam. Lineage: Archaea; Methanobacteriati; Methanobacteriota; Methanomicrobia; Methanosarcinales; Methanosarcinaceae.